Molecule: ribosomal RNA, 719 nt
Filed under: Salmonella enterica subsp. enterica serovar Senftenberg
Lineage: Bacteria; Pseudomonadati; Pseudomonadota; Gammaproteobacteria; Enterobacterales; Enterobacteriaceae
Description: partial 23S ribosomal RNA
Rfam family: Bacterial large subunit ribosomal RNA
Source: RNAcentral
GGGUUGUGAGGUUAAGCGACUAAGCGUACACGGUGGAUGCCCUGGCAGUCAGAGGCGAUGAAGGGCGUGCUAAUCUGCGAUAAGCGCCGGUAAGGUGAUAUGAACCGUUAUAACCGGCGAUACCCGAAUGGGGAAACCCAGUGUGAUUCGUCACACUAUCAUUAACUGAAUCCAUAGGUUAAUGAGGCGAACCGGGGGAACUGAAACAUCUAAGUACCCCGAGGAAAAGAAAUCAACCGAGAUUCCCCCAGUAGCGGCGAGCGAACGGGGAGGAGCCCAGAGCCUGAAUCAGCAUGUGUGUUAGUGGAAGCGUCUGGAAAGGCGCGCGAUACAGGGUGACAGCCCCGUACACAAAAGCGCAUGUGCUGUGAGCUCGAUGAGUAGGGCGGGACACGUGGUAUCCUGUCUGAAUAUGGGGGGACCAUCCUCCAAGGCUAAAUACUCCUGACUGACCGAUAGUGAACCAGUACCGUGAGGGAAAGGCGAAAAGAACCCCGGCGAGGGGAGUGAAAAAGAACCUGAAACCGUGUACGUACAAGCAGUGGGAGCCCCACCACUAAGCCAGUGGUGAACUCCACAUACGCAUCCUUUGCUGAGGAUACGGUUAACGGAGCGAAAGCGACGUUCAACCUCAAAAGAAGCAGAGGGGGCUUAGUGGUGGGGUGACUGCGUACCUUUUGUAUAAUGGGUCAGCGACUUAUAUUCUGUAGCAAGGUUAA